UACGGGGGGGGCAAGCGUUGUUCGGAAUUACUGGGCGUAAAGGGCUCGUAGGUGGCCAACUAAGUCAGACGUGAAAUCCCUCGGCUUAACCGGGGGCAUGCGGGGGAAACGGCAAAGCUUGAGGGUGCGAGGGGUCUGUGGAACUCAUGGUGUAGGGGUGAAAUCCGUUGAUAUCAUGGGGAACACCAAAAGCGAAGGCAGCAGACUGGCGCAUUCCUGACACUGAAACACUAAAGCGUGGGUAGCGAAUGGG
Molecule: ribosomal RNA, 253 nt
Filed under: uncultured bacterium
Lineage: Bacteria
Description: partial 16S ribosomal RNA
Rfam family: Bacterial small subunit ribosomal RNA
Source: RNAcentral